This is a long non-coding RNA of Oncorhynchus tshawytscha (Chinook salmon), 315 nucleotides long. Lineage: Eukaryota; Metazoa; Chordata; Actinopteri; Salmoniformes; Salmonidae. The record is from Ensembl.
AGAGAGAGUAAGGAGUGGAGAAAGACAGAAAGAGAGAGUAAGGAGUGGAGAAAGAGAAAGAGAGAGAGGGAGAAAGACAGAAAGAGAGAGUAAGGAGUGGAGAAAGACAGAAAGAGAGAAGAAGGAGUGGAGAAAGAGAGAAAGAGAGAGUAAGGAGUGGAGAAAGACAGAAAGAGAGAGUAAUGAGUGGAGAAAGACAGAAAGAGAGAGUAAGGAGUGGAGAAAGAGAGAGUAAAGAGUGGAGAAAGACAGAAAGAGAGAGUAAGGAGUGGAGAAAGAGAGAAAGAGAGAGUAAGGAGUGGAGAAAGAAAGAGA